UACCUGCAGCUCAAGUGGUGACCGCUAUUAUUGGGCCUAAAACGUUCGUAGCCGGUUUGGUAAAUGCCUGGGUAAAUCGUGUAGCUUAACUAUACGAAUUCCGGGUAGACUGCCAAACUUGAGACCGGGAGAAGCUAGAGGUACUCCUGGGGUAGAGGUGAAAUUCUGUAAUCCUAGGGGGACCACCAGUGGCGAAGGCGUCUAGCUAGGACGGGUUUGACGGUGAGGAACGAAGCCCUGGGGCGCAAACCGGAUUAGAUACCCGGGUAGUCCAGGGUGUAAACGCUGCCUGCUUGAUGUUAGUUGGGCUCCGAGCCCAAUUAGUGCCGGAGAGAAGUUGUUAAGCAAGCUGCCUGGGAAGUACGAUCGCAAGAUUGAGACUUAAAGGAAUUGGCGGGGGAGCACAGCAACGGGUGGAGCGUGCGGUUU
RNAcentral lists this ribosomal RNA (429 nucleotides) under uncultured archaeon. Its description in RNAcentral is "bacterial SSU rRNA". It matches the Rfam family "Archaeal small subunit ribosomal RNA", at positions 474 to 903 of the family's 1478-position model. The record is from RNAcentral.